UGCCAGACUCCUACGGGAGGCAGCAGUGAGGAAUAUUGGUCAAUGGGCGAGAGCCUGAACCAGCCAAGUCGCGUGAAGGAUGACGGCCCUACGGGUUGUAAACUUCUUUUGUCAGGGAGCAAUUGGGUCCACGCGUGGGCUUAGCGAGAGUACCUGAAGAAGAAGCAUCGGCUAACUCCGUGCCAGCAGCCGCGGUAAUACGGAGGAUGCGAGCGUUAUCCGGAUUUAUUGGGUUUAAAGGGUGCGCAGGCGGGAGAUCAAGUCAGCGGUAAAAUGUCGGGGCUCAACCCCGGCCGGCCGUUGAAACUGGUUUUCUAGAGUUGGAGAGAAGUAUGCGGAAUUCGUGGUGUAGCGGUGAAAUGCAUAGAUAUCACGAAGAACUCCGAUUGCGAAGGCAGCAUACCGGCUCCAUACUGACGCUGAGGCACGAAAGCGUGGGGAUCGAACAGGAUUAGAUACCCUUGUA
Molecule: ribosomal RNA, 466 nt
Filed under: uncultured bacterium
Lineage: Bacteria
Description: bacterial SSU rRNA
Rfam family: Bacterial small subunit ribosomal RNA
Source: RNAcentral